This is a long non-coding RNA of Wasmannia auropunctata (little fire ant), 557 nucleotides long. RefSeq lists it as uncharacterized. The record is from RefSeq and is a predicted model, not a curated record. NCBI's taxonomy places the organism in Eukaryota, Metazoa, Arthropoda, Insecta, Hymenoptera, Formicidae. The transcript is spliced from 3 exons.
AAUAUGUCGGUAAUAAAGUCGUAUAAGGCCGUGGGUCCGUAAUAGACGCGUUGGACGAUCUUACGGUUGACUGCUCACUUAGCGUCGCAUAUAUAUUUGCGUGUGUGGCCUCGUAACCACUCCGCCACGCCGCGCCGGUAGCGGUUUGCGUCGCGUUUCACUCGGCCGCACGGCGUGCGUUGUUCGCGUGUCCCCAACGCACGUAUACGGCCCCUGGGUCGUAACCCUCGCAGGCAUGGACCGCCAGGUGGACCGAGUGACCUGGGCAAGCAACGGUAAAGCUGUUGGUACAAGAUUCUCGGGACGGCCGGCACUCACGUACCUACUCGCGUGUUAUUGAAAAGCGGCAAGCAGCGAGAUAGAAAAGAAAGAGAUGCGAAAGAAAGGUUUUACUGUCUUCGAGAUGCUUGAUUUAUGAACGAUCGUCGGAGACGCGCAUAUCCAUGAUUAGAGAGCUGAUUGGUAUCCUCCCACUAAUGCACUGAUACAAAUUGAUCGAAAAAUAAGACAUAUUUCCAAUUGGAAGCGUAAAUUACACAUAAUAAAUCUAUAUUAUU